This 491-nucleotide ribosomal RNA is filed under the name uncultured bacterium. Its description in RNAcentral is "partial 16S ribosomal RNA". It matches the Rfam family "Bacterial small subunit ribosomal RNA", at positions 29 to 507 of the family's 1533-position model. The record is from RNAcentral.
AGUGGACGCUGGCGGUAGGCCUAACACAUGCAAGUCGAACGGCAGCACAGUAAGAGCUUGCUCUUACGGGUGGCGAGUGGCGGACGGGUGAGGAAUACAUCGGAAUCUACUUUUUCGUGGGGGAUAACGUAGGGAAACUUACGCAAUACCGCAUACGACCUACGGGUGAAAGCAGGGGAUCUUCGGACCUUGCGCGAUUGAAUGAGCCGAUGUCGGAUUAGCUAGUUGGCGGGGUAAAGGCCCACCAAGGCGACGAUCCGUAGCUGGUCUGAGAGGAUGAUCAGCCACACUGGAACUGAGACACGGUCCAGACUCCUACGGGAGGCAGCAGUGGGGAAUAUUGGACAAUGGGCGCAAGCCUGAUCCAGCCAUACCGCGUGGGUGAAGAAGGCCUUCGGGUUGUAAAGCCCUUUUGUUGGGAAAGAAAAGCAGCAGGUUAAUACCCCGCUGUUCUGACGGUACCCAAAGAAUAAGCACCGGCUAACUUCGUG